GGGCUCUUGUAUCGAAUCUUCUGAUCUUUCUCGCUCAGCGGUAUCCCAUAUGUUGUAGCCUCGCUGCAUUUUUCUUCUUCCGGAAAUUUCCUGAAACUUCUAUGUUAGUGUUUAUGCCUGUGGGUGUUUUGGUGCUGUUUUUAAUAUCAUUCUUUUAUCUUAAAGAUUUCCUAGGAUGUUCUUGUUCUGGAUUUACAUGAUUCGUUUGUCUCUGAUGAGGAUGGAGUUUGAAUAAACUUUCGUUCUUCUGAUAAACAUUUCAUGAAGAAUGUUUUUGGAGACCUGAACUGAAGAGACAUUUUGAAUGAUAAAUACACCCUUUCUUAGGUUUGUGCCUUUUUUUUUUUUUGCUUCCGUUGGGUGCGUCUAUUUUUUUUCCUAUUGGUUUUGGGACACCGGGGCCUAGAUCUCAACCUUUGAAGCAAGACAGAAUUUUCAGCAAACGAAUCCUUGUACGAAAACAAAACAAAAGAACUUAAGUGAACUGGCAAAAUAAAUCAGCAAAUGGGCACAAUUGUGAAGUACGUAAUUGUCAGAAAAUUAAGGCUUUGUUUAAUUUUCUUAUCCCGGGAUCCGGGGUUGGCUACUGAAUCGAAAUGCCUCUGAUGAUGAUUAAAUAAUAACUUUCGUUCUUCCGAGUUGUCCAUGUGGAAAACUAAUGGAGACCUGAACUGAAGAGGCUUCUUGUUAAGUAUUUCCUCCGCCUUCCCCUGAGUUAAGGUGCGGUUCUGCGAAUCAAAUAACAUUGAUGCUAGCUUGGCUUAAGCAGUUUAUAAUUUCAUGUGCUUGGAAAUAUGACGUGGGGGCUUGUUUCUGAAAGCAAGCUGUCUUUUGUCUUCCGUGGCAUCUUUAACUUGUUGCUCUGUUUGAGGAUCUCGUCACCUAGUGCUUAGGAAUCCAAUGGCCAUGAAGAAACUUUCGAUUGACUGAUUUGUCUUGUCCAUGUAGAAAAUUCAAGGGGAGCUGAACUGAAUAAAUAGGCUUUCUGCUCUAUAUUUUCUGACCCUUUUGACUUUGGUCAGUAUGGAUCCUCAAUAAUAUUCGAAGGAAAAAGAGCACAAUUGGGCUGAUGGAUCAUUUCGUUCGUUGGUUGCACUCUUCAAAUGUUUUAGGGGAGCUCAUUUUACCUUUUUCUGCGUUGAACACUUUCAUUUUAAUAUCGCUGUUUUAUUUACCAAAUUUCCCUGAUCCGUCAACUCUUCUCAUUAUUACUUCUAGGGAGUUCAUAUCCAUUUGCAAUGUUUGCGGCCUUAAUAUCUACAAUUUUCCUGAAAUUUAUUCAUGAGUAAUUUUGUUGCUCUAAGAUUCAUUAUUAAUAACAUGUUAUUUUUCAGAUCAGUUCCACCACCUUAUUUGAAAUAAUUUCUCAACUAAAGUACAGUUUUGUACAAAAUGAGAUAUCCAUUCCAUAGCUGCUUGUUUACAGCCGCCCAAUGGAUGAAGAUAGGAGUGAGAAUGAAGAAGAGGAAUUCGAUACUGGACUUCUGUGCUCAUGAGUGUAAAGAAGAAUAACACACAGGUAUAUUCUGAGACUGGAUGACAGGGUCCAGCUGUGUCUGCACUACAAGGGGCCUUUGAUAGGCAUUGCAAUAUGGUUCUUGAGAAUGUCAGCCAAAGCAUUCUUGGGUUCCCAUCUGGUGCCAAAGAUUAGUAAAGGAAAGUAAAGGCACAACCGUCAUUGUUCUGAGGAAACCCCGAGUGCUUGGUCCAUUGACCAUCAAGUUUGCAUCCAUUUAAUAUUAGAUUAAAUUGCUCUUCUAGGUGCUCAUGUUAAUUCUGAGUGAGCCGUAACAUGUGAGCAUUGUAAUUUUCUGAUGUAGGAGUUGUAAAUUUUACACAGCUUCCAUGUAUACUACUUAUUCUUUUGUCCAGCCUUCGACAACAUAGAUAUUUUGAAGGAGUACCCCUGAAGUUGGUGGCCGG
This is a long non-coding RNA of Neltuma alba, 1923 nucleotides long. RefSeq lists it as uncharacterized. The transcript has 2 exons. The record is from RefSeq and is a predicted model, not a curated record. NCBI's taxonomy places the organism in Eukaryota, Viridiplantae, Streptophyta, Magnoliopsida, Fabales, Fabaceae.